Molecule: unclassified non-coding RNA, 357 nt
Filed under: soil metagenome
Description: partial contains 5.8S ribosomal RNA, internal transcribed spacer 2, and large subunit ribosomal RNA
Rfam family: 5.8S ribosomal RNA (bases 1-120)
Source: RNAcentral
GAUGAAGAACGUAGCAAAAUGCGAUAAGUAGUGUGAAUUGCAGAAUUCAGUGAAUCAUCGAAUCUUUGAACGCACAUUGCGCCCGCUGGUAUUCCGGCGGGCAUGCCUGUUCGAGCGUCAUUUCAACCCUCAAGCUCUCCGGAGUUUGGUGUUGGGGCGCCUGGGGCUUUUCGACCUCAGGGCCCUCAAGUCCAUCGGCGGGACCGCCAGGACACUGAGCGCAGUAGUAUUAUUUCGCUCGGUAGGAUCUUCCACGGCGGGUCGAUCUGGCCGCUAAACCCCCCAAUUCUCACCAAAGGUUGACCUCGGAUCAGGUAGGAAUACCCGCUGAACUUAAGCAUAUCAAUAAGCGGAGGA